This 107-nucleotide small nuclear RNA is filed under the name Erinaceus europaeus (western European hedgehog). The record is from RNAcentral. Lineage: Eukaryota; Metazoa; Chordata; Mammalia; Eulipotyphla; Erinaceidae.
GUGCUCACUUCAGCAGCACAUAUACUAAAACUGGAACAAUACAGAGAAGAUUAGCGUGGCCCCUGUGCAGGGAUGACAUGCAAAUUCGUGAAGCGUUCCAUAUUUUA